GCAUUGAUGGUUCAAUGGUAGAAUUCUCUCCUUCCAUGUGGAAGACCUGGGUUCAAUUCCUGCCCAACGCA
This 71-nucleotide transfer RNA is filed under the name Loxodonta africana (African savanna elephant). It matches the Rfam family "tRNA". From Rfam's summary of the family: Transfer RNA (tRNA) molecules are approximately 80 nucleotides in length. Their secondary structure includes four short double-helical elements and three loops (D, anti-codon, and T loops). Further hydrogen bonds mediate the characteristic L-shaped molecular structure. tRNAs have two regions of fundamental functional importance: the anti-codon, which is responsible for specific mRNA codon recognition, and the 3' end, to which the tRNAs corresponding amino acid is attached (by aminoacyl-tRNA synthetases). tRNAs cope with the degeneracy of the genetic code in two manners: having more than one tRNA (with a specific anti-codon) for a particular amino acid; and 'wobble' base-pairing, i.e. permitting non-standard base-pairing at the 3rd anti-codon position. The record is from Rfam by way of RNAcentral. Lineage: Eukaryota; Metazoa; Chordata; Mammalia; Proboscidea; Elephantidae.